UAAUAAUAAGUAUAUUAGAGUAAUUUUUACCUUGCAACACUUUGAUAUCCCCGCUUGUGUCUUUGCAGCUAGCACCAGGAUUACUACCUCCCUCCAACUCAUCAAGUACCAGGUCCUGUUCUGAGCACUCUAAGUGAAUCAACACACUUAAUCCUGACAGUUCUCAGCUAAGGACACUGCAGCAGAGGACUUGGCGAACUUGCUGAAAGUUACACAGCUGUGGAAAAGGGCAAAUAAAACCUUGUUCAGUAAAUGUGUUCUAUAAAAGGCCCAAUGCAAAGACACCUGGUAUCUAUAUAUAUGAACACUUAUAUGACUUAAGAAACCUCCUAGGGAAGUAUAAAAUAGUCAAUAGAUUCAAAAAGAACCAAUCGAUAGAUCCAAUUUUAAUUACAUAAAGGAAACUUACCUGCUGGGAAAGAAUGGUUACAGCUUCUUUAUGCUUUGUGUCCCUUAGGUUAACUCCGUUAACAGCCAGAAUAGCAUCUCCGACAUGUAGCCCUCCACAUCUGUCAGCAGGUUGCCCUGGGUGGAUCUCAGAAAUGAGGAUUGGAACACCAUGCUCUUUCCCACCCUGACCAAAAAAAAAGGGGGGGGGGGGACAGUCAAUUAGUUUACUCUGUACAGUAACACAUUAUUCUAACAAUAAAAUACUUAAAAAUGCAUUUCAAUAAGCAACUAAACCAUAUAAAUGCUGAAAUAUUACUUCCUACUUAGGUAAUGGUAACCAUAUUAUUACAAGUAUCAAAGAGUUAUCUCUGAGUAAAACAGUAACAUGCAUGUACACUCUAAAACACAUUCCAAAGCCCAAAACUCUUUUAAAUAUAAAUAAAAAUAUUUUAUGUAUUAAUGUUC
Suricata suricatta (meerkat) is the source of this 855-nucleotide long non-coding RNA. RefSeq lists it as uncharacterized. The transcript has 2 exons. NCBI's taxonomy places the organism in Eukaryota, Metazoa, Chordata, Mammalia, Carnivora, Herpestidae. The record is from RefSeq and is a predicted model, not a curated record.